GCCGGGGUGGCGGAAUUGGUAGACGCGCCAGUCUUAGGAACUGGUAGGGAAACCUGUGGAGGUUCGAGUCCUCUCCCCGGCA
Molecule: transfer RNA, 82 nt
Filed under: Candidatus Ryanbacteria bacterium CG10_big_fil_rev_8_21_14_0_10_43_42
Lineage: Bacteria; Candidatus Ryaniibacteriota
Description: tRNA-Leu
Rfam family: tRNA
About the family: Transfer RNA (tRNA) molecules are approximately 80 nucleotides in length. Their secondary structure includes four short double-helical elements and three loops (D, anti-codon, and T loops).
Source: RNAcentral